AUAAAUUUACAGUCCAAAUUAAAUAUGCAUUUGAGUAGACUUGAGGGCAGCUGUAACACUUCCAUAAGCCCUUAGAGAUACUUUGAGAAAUAGGAUACAGGGCUGACUGUUCCUUAGUUCUGAUCCUGUGUGAUAAUCCUUACUUUCUCAUUUAUAAGUGGACAUCCAAAGGUGAUACAGCUGGAAAAAGGAUCUUCAUCCAAGACAAAGAGAAACAAAGUCGAUAGGAAAGUGAUGAAAGGCAUCAAGCAAAGUGAAGAUGCAAAUGAGAAAACAAGAUCAGAAGACAGGAAUAUCUGAAACAAGUCACAAAUGCAUAGUAUGACCUCUCAGAAUCGUCUGGAUAAGUGUCAGCAUUCUCCAAGUCACUUUCUUGGUAUGAAAUGAACAUUUGUGGCCAGGUGCAGUGGCUCACACCUGUAAUCCCACCACUUCAGGAGGCCGAGGUGGGCGGAUCAUGAGGUCAAGAGAUCGAGACCAUCCUGGCCAACAUGGUGAA
Molecule: long non-coding RNA, 499 nt
Filed under: Homo sapiens (human)
Lineage: Eukaryota; Metazoa; Chordata; Mammalia; Primates; Hominidae
Description: non-protein coding lnc-ARID2-8:3
Source: RNAcentral